Molecule: ribosomal RNA, 380 nt
Filed under: uncultured bacterium
Lineage: Bacteria
Description: bacterial SSU rRNA
Rfam family: Bacterial small subunit ribosomal RNA
Source: RNAcentral
AUUGAACGCUGGCGGCAUGCCUUACACAUGCAAGUCGAACGGCAGCACGGGAGCAAUCCUGGUGGCGAGUGGCGAACGGGUGAGUAAUAUAUCGGAACGUGCCCAGUCGUGGGGGAUAACGUAGCGAAAGCUACGCUAAUACCGCAUACGAUCUAUGGAUGAAAGCGGGGGAUCGCAAGACCUCGCGCGAUUGGAGCGGCCGAUAUCAGAUUAGGUAGUUGGUGAGGUAAAGGCUCACCAAGGCGACGAUCUGUAGCGGGUCUGAGAGGAUGAUCCGCCACACUGGAACUGAGACACGGUCCAGACUCCUACGGGAGGCAGCAGUGGGGAAUUUUGGACAAUGGGCGCAAGCCUGAUCCAGCCAUGCCGCGUGAGUGAAG